This 226-nucleotide long non-coding RNA is filed under the name Sorghum bicolor (sorghum). RNAcentral's name for it is "long non-coding RNA (SBIC_LNC006552)". Lineage: Eukaryota; Viridiplantae; Streptophyta; Magnoliopsida; Poales; Poaceae. The record is from RNAcentral.
GGGUGUUACAGCCCUUCCCCCCUUAGGGAAAUCUCGUCCCGAGAUUUGGGUUACUAACCAUUUCUUAUGAAACUUUGGGUAAACUGUUUUUAGGUAAUCCUCGGUUUUCCAGGUAGCAUCCCUAUCAUCAUGAUGACUCCACACCACCUUAUAUGUUUUGACAACUUUGUUCCGGGUUACUCGCUCUUUGGUAUCUAUGAUACCCACUAGCUGUUCCUUAUACUCC